CUGAAAUGGGCCAUGCUAUAGAAGGUGGGACGGUGCAGUACCUGAAGUGGGCCAUUCUGUAGAUGGUGGUACAGUACUUGAAGUGGGCCAUUCUAUAGAAGGUGAUACAGUACCUGAAAUGGGCCAUGCUAUAGAAGGUGGUACAGUACCUGAAAUGGGCCAUGCUAUAGAAGGCAGUAUAGUACCUGAAAUGGGCCAUGCUAUAGAAGGUGGUACAGUACUUGAAGUGGACCAUGCUAUAUAAGGUGGGACAGUACCUGAAGUGGGCCAUUCUGUAGAUGGUGGUACAGUACUUGAAGUGGGCCAUUCUAUAGAAGGUGAUACAGUACCUGAAAUGGGCCAUGCUAUAGAAGGUGGUACAGUACCUGAAAUGGGCCUUGCUAUAGAAGGUGGUACAGUACCUGAAAUGGGCCAUGCUAUAGAAGGUGGUACAGUACCUGAAAUGGGCCUUGCUAUAGAAGGUGGUACAGUACCUGAAAUGGGCCAUUCUAUAGAAGGUGGUACAGUACCUGAAAUGGGCCAUGCUAUAGAAGGUGGUACAUUACCUGAAGUGGGCCAUACUAUAGAAGGUGGUACAGUACUUGAAGUGGGCCAUGCUAUAGAAGGUGGUACAUUACCUGAAGUGGGCCAUACUAUAGAAGGUGGUACAGUACUUGAAGUGGGCCAUGCUAUACAAGGUGGUACAGUACCUGAAGUGGGCCAUGCUAUAGAAGGUGGGACAGUACCUGAAGUGGACCAUGCUAUAGAAGGUGGUACAGUACCUGAAGUGGGCCAUACUAUAGAAGGUGGGACAGUACCUGAAGUGGGCCAUACUAUAGAAGGUGGGACAGUACAGUACCUGAGGUGGGCAAUGCUAUAGAAGAAGGUGGGACAGUACCUGAAGUGGACCAUGCUAUAGAAGGUGGGACAGUACCUGAAGUGGGCCAUGCUAUAGAAGGUGGGACGGUGCAAUACCUGAAGUGGGCCAUUCUGUAGAAGGUGGUACAGCACUUGAAGUGGGCCAUUCUAUAGAAGGUGGUACAGUACCUGAAAUGGUCCACGCUAUAGAAGGUGGUACAGUACCUGAAAUGUGCCAUACUAUAGAAGCUGGUACAGUACCUGAAAUGGGCCUUGCUAUAGAAGGUGGUACAGUACCUGAAAUGGGCCAUGCUAUAGAAGGCAGUAUAGUACCUGAAAUGGGCCAUGCUAUAGAAGGUGGUACAGUACUUGAAGUGGACCAUGCUAUAUAAGGUGGGACAGUACCUGAAGUGGGCCAUUCUGUAGAUGGUGGUACAGUACUUGAAGUGGGCCAUUCUAUAGAAGGUGAUACAGUACCUGAAAUGGGCCAUGCUAUAGAAGGUGGGACGGUGCAGUACCUGAAGUGGGCCAUUCUGUAGAUGGUGGUACAGUACUUGAAGUGGGCCAUUCUAUAGAAGGUGAUACAGUACCUGAAAUGGGCCAUGCUAUAGAAGGUGGUACAGUACCUGAAAUGGGCCAUGCUAUAGAAGGCGGUACAGUACCUGAAAUGGGCCAUGCUAUAGAAGGUGGGACGGUGCAGUACCUGAAGUGGGCAAUGCUAUAGAAGAAGGUGGGACAGUACCUGAAGUGGACCAUGCUAUAGAAGGUGGGACAGUACCUGAAGUGGACCAUGCUAUAGAAGGUGGGACGGUGCAGUACCUGAAGUGGGCCAUUCUGUAGAUGGUGGUACAGUACUUGAAAUGGGCCAUGCUAUAGAAGGCGGUACAGUACCUGAAAUGGGCCAUGCUAUAGAAAGUGGUACAGUACCUGAAGUGGGCAAUGCUAUAGAAGGAGGGACAGUACAGUACCUGAAGUGGGCAAUGCUAUUGAAGGUGGGACAGUACCUGAAGUGGGCCAUGCUAUAGAAGGUGGGACAGUACCUGAAGUGGGCCAUACUAUAGAAGGUGGGACAGUACCUGAAUUGGGCCAUUCUAUAGAACGUGGGACGGUACCUGAAGUGGGCCAUGCUGUGGAAGCUCACAGACACACCUUCAAUUCAUCAGUUGGCCCCUGUAACAUUUCACAACCAGCACCUAAGCUACUAACUUGAUCAUACACAGGAAUCUGACAAAACAUUGAGGUCACACUCAACUUCUUUUUGUCUGAUUCUGACCUGUUCAAUUACCUGCUACAGUAACACAUUCACUUGUACGAUGUCAUUCUCACCUGUUAGCCAUGUGACUAAGAAGGAGUACGUGUGUGUCUUACCUGUAUGAUGCUGUGUGCGUACUGCUCAGCUCUCUCCCAGCUGUACUCCUCUGUCUGAGGGGCUCCAGCCAGCUCAGGCCUCCGUUCCACACAGGUAGUAUUCUGGGUACAGGUGGUGGGUAGUGCCCAGGGAGAGCUCUGCCGGCACCAGGGUGUCCAGGUACCAGUACAUCUCUCUCUCUCUCUCUCUCUCUCUCUCUCUCUCUCUCUCUCUCUCUCUCU
Molecule: long non-coding RNA, 2427 nt
Organism: Oncorhynchus keta (chum salmon)
Lineage: Eukaryota; Metazoa; Chordata; Actinopteri; Salmoniformes; Salmonidae
Exons: 3
Source: RefSeq, a predicted model, not a curated record